CGGCCGCGAAUUCGCCCUUCGGGGUGCAGCAGGCGCGAAAACUUUACAAUGCGGGAAACUGUGAUAAGGGAACUCCGAGUGCCCGUUAAAUCGGGCUGUUCACCAGUUUAAACAACUGGUGAAGAAAGGGCCGGGCAAGACCGGUGCCAGCCGCCGCGGUAAUACCGGCGGCUCGAGUGGUGGCCACUAUUACUGGGCUUAAAGCGUUCGUAGCUGGUUUGUUAAGUCUCUGGGGAAAUCUACCGGCUUAACCGGUAGGCGUCUCAGGGAUACUGGCAGACUAGGGACCGGGAGAGGUGAGAGGUACUCCAGGGGUAGGAGUGAAAUCCUGUAAUCCUUGGGGGACCACCUGUGGCGAAGGCGUCUCACCAGAACGGCUCCGACAGUGAGGGACGAAAGCUGGGGGAGCAAACCGGAUUAGAUACCCGGGUAGUCCCAGCUGUAAACGAUGCGCGUUAGGUGUAUCGGUGACCACGAGUCACCGAGGUGCCGAAGAGAAAUCGUGAAACGUGCCGCCUGGGAAGUACGGUCGCAAGGCUGAAACUUAAAGGAAUUGGCGGGGGAGCAC
This 568-nucleotide ribosomal RNA is filed under the name uncultured archaeon. RNAcentral's name for it is "bacterial SSU rRNA". It matches the Rfam family "Archaeal small subunit ribosomal RNA", at positions 305 to 879 of the family's 1478-position model. The record is from RNAcentral.